AUUGAACGCUGGCGGCAUGCCUUACACAUGCAAGUCGAACGGUAACAGGUCUUCGGAUGCUGACGAGUGGCGAACGGGUGAGUAAUACAUCGGAACGUGCCCGAUCGUGGGGGAUAACGGAGCGAAAGCUUUGCUAAUACCGCAUACGAUCUACGGAUGAAAGCAGGGGACCGCAAGGCCUUGCGCGGACGGAGCGGCCGAUGGCAGAUUAGGUAGUUGGUGGGAUAAAAGCUUACCAAGCCGACGAUCUGUAGCUGGUCUGAGAGGACGACCAGCCACACUGGGACUGAGACACGGCCCAGACUCCUACGGGAGGCAGCAGUGGGGAAUCUUGCGCAAUGGGGGAAACCCUGACGCAGCAACGCCGCGUGAGUGAGGAAGGCCUUCGGGUCGUAAAGCUCUGUCAGAUGGGAAGAAAUGGAUGGGGCGUAAUAUCGCCCAUCCUUGACGGUACCAUCAGAGGAAGCACCGGCUAACUCCGUGCC
RNAcentral lists this ribosomal RNA (485 nucleotides) under uncultured bacterium. RNAcentral's name for it is "bacterial SSU rRNA". It matches the Rfam family "Bacterial small subunit ribosomal RNA", at positions 29 to 509 of the family's 1533-position model. The record is from RNAcentral.